RNAcentral lists this long non-coding RNA (500 nucleotides) under Aquila chrysaetos chrysaetos. RNAcentral's name for it is "lncRNA (ENSACCG00020009948.1)". The record is from RNAcentral. Lineage: Eukaryota; Metazoa; Chordata; Aves; Accipitriformes; Accipitridae.
CAGCAGCUCUGUUCCUGCCCCUCCCUUACGUGGCUGGGAAUUCACAUUAUGGCCAAAGCAGGUUUGAAUUGCCUCUCGAGGUGGCUGGGUGCUCUGGAGGAGAGAAAUCUAAUUAACACUCGUUCCCUGCUCAGCUGGACAUAGACAUGAAGCAAGACCAGACCUGGGAGUAGGUCGUGUGGUUCCUACUAGAGCACGCAGGGCCAGAGCUCCUGUGUGCUGGCUGUGCAGGAUGUGGUGGGCUGGGGCCAGUUCUUGUGCACGUCUGACCCAGAAAAUGUUGAAGUACCUCAUUAUCUCCAGAGGAAGCUCGUUCCAGGCUUGCUUUGUUUGGCCUAUGAGCACUUCCCCAGGAACACAGCUUCAGCUGCUGGUAGAAGACUGGGACCAAGCUGAAGACAGAAAUCUUGGCAAAUGUUGUAAGAUAUUCAUCAACAGAUGUAAUAAAAAUACUUUAAAACUUUGCCUCACUUACAUCCUUGGACCAUCACAGCUGUAAC